AGCUCCAAUAGCGUAUAUUAAAGUUGUUGCAGUUAAAACGCUCGUAGUCGGACCUGGGAGCGCGCGCACGGGCCCGUCUUCCGACGGCGCCUGUGGGCUGCUGCUCCUAUUUCCGGUACGUGGGCCGUGGGGACUUCACUGUCUCUGCGUCACCCCGCGGGCCGGACGUUUACUGUGAAGAAAUUAGAGUGUUCAAAGCAGGCUAACGCCCUGAAUACGUGAGCAUGGAAUAAUAGAAUAGGACUUGGUCUCUAUUUUGUUGGUUUCCAGUGACCGAGUAAUGAUUAAUAGGGAUUGUUGGGGGCAUUCGUAUUUCAUUGUCAGAGGUGAAAUUCUUAGAUUGAUGGAAGACGAACAACUGCGAAAGCAUCUGCCAUGGAUGUUUUCA
Molecule: ribosomal RNA, 388 nt
Filed under: uncultured eukaryote
Lineage: Eukaryota
Description: SSU rRNA
Rfam family: Eukaryotic small subunit ribosomal RNA
Source: RNAcentral